Pteronotus mesoamericanus is the source of this 103-nucleotide small nuclear RNA. The record is from RefSeq and is a predicted model, not a curated record. NCBI's taxonomy places the organism in Eukaryota, Metazoa, Chordata, Mammalia, Chiroptera, Mormoopidae.
GUCUUCUCUGUUGGUUCACAUAUACUAAAAUUGGAACGAUACAGAGAAGAUUAGCAUGGCCCCUGAGCAAGGAAACAUUCUUAACAAAAUGAAAAGAUGUUCU